This 460-nucleotide ribosomal RNA is filed under the name uncultured bacterium. Its description in RNAcentral is "partial 16S ribosomal RNA". It matches the Rfam family "Bacterial small subunit ribosomal RNA", at positions 338 to 795 of the family's 1533-position model. The record is from RNAcentral.
CCUACGGGUGGCAGCAGUGAGGAAUAUUGGUCAAUGGACGAGAGUCUGAACCAGCCAAGUAGCGUGAAGGAUGACUGCCCUAUGGGUUGUAAACUUCUUUUAUAUGGGAAUAAAAUGUUCCACGUGUGGGAUUUUGUAUGUACCAUAUGAAUAAGGAUCGGCUAACUCCUGGCCAGCAGCCGCGGUAAUACGGAGGAUCCGAGCGUUAUCCGGAUUUAUUGGGUUUAAAGGGAGCGUAGGUGGAUUGUUAAGUCAGUUGUGAAAGUUUGCGGCUAAACCGUAAAAUUGCAGUUGAAACUGGCAGUCGUGAGUACAGUAGAGGUGGGCGGAAUUCGUGGUGUAGCGGUGAAAUGCUUAGAUAUCACGAAGAACUCCGAUUGCGAAGGCAGCUCACUGGACUGCAACUGACACUGAGGCUCGAAAGUGUGGGUAUCAAACAGGAUUAGAUACCCGAGUAGUC